GAUGAACGCUGGCGGCGUGCCUAAUACAUGCAAGUCGAGCGAACAGACGAGGAGCUUGCUCCUCUGACGUUAGCGGCGGACGGGUGAGUAACACGUGGAUAACCUACCUAUAAGACUGGGAUAACUUCGGGAAACCGGAGCUAAUACCGGAUAAUAUAUUGAACCGCAUGGUUCAAUAGUGAAAGACGGUUUUGCUGUCACUUAUAGAUGGAUCCGCGCCGCAUUAGCUAGUUGGUAAGGUAACGGCUUACCAAGGCGACGAUGCGUAGCCGACCUGAGAGGGGGAUCGGCCACACUGGAACUGAGACGCGGUCCAGACUCCUACGGGAGGCAGCAGUAGGGAAUCUGCCGCAGUGGGCGAAAGCCUGACGGAGCAACGCCGCGUGAGUGAUGAAGGUCUUCGGAUCGUAAAACUCUGUUAUUAGGGAAGAACAAAUGUGUAAGUAACUGUGCACGUCUUGACGGUACCUAAUCAGAAAGCCACGGCUAACUACGUG
RNAcentral lists this ribosomal RNA (497 nucleotides) under uncultured bacterium. RNAcentral's name for it is "partial 16S ribosomal RNA". It matches the Rfam family "Bacterial small subunit ribosomal RNA", at positions 28 to 507 of the family's 1533-position model. The record is from RNAcentral.